CCUACGGGAGGCAGCAGUGGGGAAUAUUGGACAAUGGGCGAAAGCCUGAUCCAGCCAUACCGCGUGUGUGAAGAAGGUCUUCGGAUUGUAAAGCACUUUAAGUUGGGAGGAAGGGCUGUAAGCGAAUACCUUGCAGUUUUGACGUUACCGACAGAAUAAGCACCGGCUAACUUCGUGCCAGCAGCCGCGGUAAU
RNAcentral lists this ribosomal RNA (194 nucleotides) under uncultured Pseudomonas sp. Its description in RNAcentral is "partial 16S ribosomal RNA". It matches the Rfam family "Bacterial small subunit ribosomal RNA", at positions 338 to 524 of the family's 1533-position model. Lineage: Bacteria; Pseudomonadati; Pseudomonadota; Gammaproteobacteria; Pseudomonadales; Pseudomonadaceae. The record is from RNAcentral.